CGGGGGGGGGGGCCUAUAAUGCAGUCGAGCGCGGGAAGCGAGUGGAUCCCUUCGGGGUGAAGCUCGUGGAACGAGCGGCGGACGGGUGAGUAACACGUGGGCAACCUGCCUGUAAGAUCGGAAUAACUCCGGGAAACCGGGGCUAAUGCCGGGUAAUACUUUCUUUCGCAUGAAGGAAAGUUGAAAGAUGGCUUCUUGCUAUCACUUACAGAUGGGCCCGCGGCGCAUUAGCUAGUUGGUGAGGUAACGGCUCACCAAGGCGACGAUGCGUAGCCGACCUGAGAGGGUGAUCGGCCACACUGGGACUGAGACACGGCCCAGACUCCUACGGGAGGCAGCAGUAGGGAAUCUUCCGCAAUGGACGAAAGUCUGACGGAGCAACGCCGCGUGAACGAUGAAGGUCUUCGGAUCGUAAAGUUCUGUUGUUAGGGAAGAACAAGUACCGUGCGAAUAGAGCGGUACCUUGACGGUACCUAACGAGGAAGCCCCGGCUAACUACGUGCCAGCAGCCGCGGUAAUACGUAGGGGGCAAGCGUUGUCCGGAAUUAUUGGGCGUAAAGCGCGCGCAGGCGGUUCCUUAAGUCUGAUGUGAAAGCCCACGGCUCAACCGUGGAGGGUCAUUGGAAACUGGGGAACUUGAGGACAGAAGAGGAGAGUGGAAUUCCACGUGUAGCGGUGAAAUGCGUAGAUAUGUGGAGGAACACCAGUGGCGAAGGCGACUCUCUGGUCUGUUUCUGACGCUGAGGUGCGAAAGCGUGGGUAGCAAACAGGAUUAGAUACCCUGGUAGUCCACGCCGUAA
This 800-nucleotide ribosomal RNA is filed under the name Halobacillus sp. JSM 101094. RNAcentral describes it as "bacterial SSU rRNA". It matches the Rfam family "Bacterial small subunit ribosomal RNA", at positions 36 to 805 of the family's 1533-position model. The record is from RNAcentral. Lineage: Bacteria; Bacillati; Bacillota; Bacilli; Caryophanales; Bacillaceae.